UUCCCGAUAUAUAGAGGGCCCUAAAAUUAAUUUGAAUUAAGCGAUUUUGAUUCGGAUCAAUAAAUUUUCAAACCGUAGUUGUGUUGGUGCUCUUUGCACUGGCCAAUUAAAUUGUGAAACACGUAGAAUUGCACGUUUCACGCCUCUCUCUCAUGGAUCACCCAGACUCUGGUUCGAAUAGAGUGCUCUACUGACCUGCAAAGGUUAGCACCGGUGUCAUUCUGGGUUUAUUUUAUAGAUGAAAGUAUCAUG
This 252-nucleotide long non-coding RNA is filed under the name Amborella trichopoda. RNAcentral's name for it is "long non-coding RNA (ATRI_LNC002743)". The record is from RNAcentral. Lineage: Eukaryota; Viridiplantae; Streptophyta; Magnoliopsida; Amborellales; Amborellaceae.